GUGCCCUUGGCCGAUCGGCUGAGGCGUCAGGCUUCCAACCUGAAUAGGCGGGUUCGAUUCCCGCAGGGCACU
This 72-nucleotide transfer RNA is filed under the name Pirellulaceae bacterium. RNAcentral describes it as "tRNA-Gly". It matches the Rfam family "tRNA". Rfam says of the family: Transfer RNA (tRNA) molecules are approximately 80 nucleotides in length. Their secondary structure includes four short double-helical elements and three loops (D, anti-codon, and T loops). Further hydrogen bonds mediate the characteristic L-shaped molecular structure. tRNAs have two regions of fundamental functional importance: the anti-codon, which is responsible for specific mRNA codon recognition, and the 3' end, to which the tRNAs corresponding amino acid is attached (by aminoacyl-tRNA synthetases). tRNAs cope with the degeneracy of the genetic code in two manners: having more than one tRNA (with a specific anti-codon) for a particular amino acid; and 'wobble' base-pairing, i.e. permitting non-standard base-pairing at the 3rd anti-codon position. The record is from RNAcentral. Lineage: Bacteria; Pseudomonadati; Planctomycetota; Planctomycetia; Pirellulales; Pirellulaceae.